AGCUUUCCAGGAGCGCACCCAAUUCAUUACGCACGCUCAGAGGCACGUCCCCUCCGGUGCGCACAUUUUUUGGGGGAGGGCUCAUCGUCCCAUUAAUAUUUUUUUCUGGCGCUGGGCCUGACCAAGACCAAAGGGAAAGUCAUGGUUUUGUCUGAGAUUGUAAUUGUACCAAUCAGAGAAAAUGAGUGAGAAAACCUCUCGUUUGCGCGCGCGUGCUGGCCGAACAAUCACAUGGAGCAGCUGCGGUGCUCCACACAGCCACACAUUUUCUGUGCCUUUCCCACCAAAUGGCUCUGGUUUUCUUUUCCACCAAAGCCAAAGGGAAAAUCAUUGUUCGAGAUUUAAAUUGUACCAAUCAGAGA
Molecule: long non-coding RNA, 362 nt
Organism: Thalassophryne amazonica
Lineage: Eukaryota; Metazoa; Chordata; Actinopteri; Batrachoidiformes; Batrachoididae
Exons: 2
Source: RefSeq, a predicted model, not a curated record